GAUGAACGCUCGCGAUAGGCUUAACACAUGCAAGUCGAGGGGCAGCACAAGGUAGCUUGCUAUCUGGGUGGCGACCGGCGCACGGGUGCGUAACGCGUAUGCAACUUGCCCUAUACAGGAGGAUAACCCGUCGAAAGACGGACUAAUACUGCGUAUGCUCACAACUUGGCAUCAAGUGGUGAGGAAAGAAAUUCGGUAUAGGAUAGGCAUGCGUCCCAUUAGCUUGUUGGUGAGGUAACGGCUCACCAAGGCAACGAUGGGUAGGGGAACUGAGAGGUUUAUCCCCCACACUGGUACUGAGACACGGACCAGACUCCUACGGGAGGCAGCAGUGAGGAAUAUUGGUCAAUGGGCGCGAGCCUGAACCAGCCAAGUCGCGUGAAGGAUGACUGUCUUAUGGAUUGUAAACUUCUUUUAGACGGGAAUAACAAGAGUCACGGGUGACUCCCUGCAUGUACCGUAUGAAUAAGCAUCGGCUAACUCCGUG
This 487-nucleotide ribosomal RNA is filed under the name uncultured bacterium. Its description in RNAcentral is "partial 16S ribosomal RNA". It matches the Rfam family "Bacterial small subunit ribosomal RNA", at positions 28 to 507 of the family's 1533-position model. The record is from RNAcentral.